UCAGCUGGUGGGACGUGAACAGAGGCGAGUGAGGUUCUCUGAGGUGAAUGUGUUUAUUGGAACCCUGAUUUACAGCUUCCUGUGUAGAAGAACAUUUUCAUUUGUGUGUGUGCGCGUGCGCUUACAGUGCUACGUCGACACAGAAAAAGGUCGGGUGAAAUGUUAAUGAUGUACAUGUUUUGUUUAUGGUGAGUGGCUGAUCUUUGCAGCUCGGUGCCGGGGCGAGUUUUAAACAUUUCAAUCGAGUUUGUGUCAAAGCGCUGCUCCCCUUUCAGGAGUCAACACCCCGAUGACAUCUCAUUUAUUUGGCUGGUUUGUUUUGAUGACUCACCUCUACAAGCCAGGUUCUUUAGGAAGGCACAAAGCCUCCUACGGCGAUCCAAAUCGGCACCGCAGGAGUGCAGAACUACAUCCAACUUGGCGGCUCCCAGCCGGAUGCACAUUUUCCAUUCAACUAAUCUGCUGUCAUGUCACUUGUUUGAUCACGGUGAGGAGUGUGACAGCGACUGGAUGCGAGCGUUGAGUCAUUUUGUUGGAAGCGAAGGCAGCCGGCAUCAUCGCUGAGUCAGUACCGGGAGCGCCGCUAGCCGGCUGGGGAGGAUAUUUCCAGCCCCUGGAAGGACGGGGGGCCCGGUUUCUAGACGAAUCAAACACGUGGAGCAGAACCAGGCAAAUAAAACCACAGAACAUCUGGCACCAGACUCCUACAAAACCCCACACAGGCCCAGGAAAAGCUCCCAAACGGUACAGCGCUUCUAUCACGUUGAGAUUAAAAGGAGAUAUUUGACAGAGACGAUCGCACCAGCGUUGUCUCAGCUCCUCGGAGAUGUAAUUAGGCUCGUCCCACACAUUGCAGCUCCCCAGUCGGAUGUGGCAACGCCGCGAUCCCAGUGUCACGCAGAGGAAGCGGGAUGACGUUAAACCCGCGUAAACUUUUUAAUUGAUGCUUGGUCGCAGCUGCAGGGCGAGCUAGCUAGCGCGGCUGAGUUUGCUAAGCUAAGCUAAAAGUUACAAAAACAAAUGAAUAAAUGUGCUACAUUUCUUGAACUCCGUGGAAAACCUGUAUUUUAUUUGACAUUUUUUGUAUAUGAGGCGAGAGUUUUUCUUUAGAGUCACAAAGCUGAAGGCACCAGUUUACAGUUUCAUGACUUUCCUCCCUGAAUGCACCAGGAAUUAGCUUUAAUUAUUCAGUGUUUCUCUUUGCUUGCAAAUAAAAAAAAUAUUUUGGCCUGGUCUACCUUCAGCCGGCGAACAGUGAGAAUCUACUGUGUCAAAAUAAACCCGUCUGUUUAUUUGUGGCAAGGAAGCACUUGUCAGCCAGGUUUCCAUUGAGAUGUCGUUCUUCUCCAAAUGUAGCAGCAACAAUAAACCGGCCAGCUGCCUUUUAACCGCUGCAGAAGAAGAGCGCAACGAGGCGACAUCAUCAAAAGAAGAAGCAUCUCAAACACUGGAGCUCUUUAUUGGGGUCAAGUUGGGUUUUUCAUUGUGUUUGCUCAGAAUACAACAAAUAUACUCUCUUGUCACUUGUACCAGUGUAAUAAACUCCCAGUGAGUCAAGUUCGUUGUUUAAAUUCGCAGCUCUGCGACGCGACCCCCCCCCCAUCACUGAUUCAGCAAACCACUACCAGCCUUCUAGUAAAUACAUAUGCAGAGACGGCUCAGCGUGAGGCUGACCCUAAAAGCUUCCGUGGAGCGCUGCGAGCUGAUUCCUCACCUCAUUAGACACAUAGGAAGUGGGACACCGGGAGGAAACAGGAGCAUGUAAAGACUAUGAGAUGUUAUAGACGGGUUUCCGGCUAAGCGACUGCACACGUGCGCGUGGUCCAGCCAGGAGGCGCUCGCAGGGAAUAACACUGAUGAAUAAUGUGGGAGGGUCCGUCCUCCCUCCCUCCUUUUCCUUCCUUCCUGUCUUGCAGGCACAGAGAAAGCUCCUUUCUGUCAAGACAGAAGCUCAUCAGCAUUCAGCAUGCGCCACCAGCCCACUGCAUCCAAUCACAUGCACUUGAGCAUACAGAGUGCACGUGUGUGUGUGUGUGUGUGUGUGUGUGUGUGUGUGUGUGUGUGGCUAAUCGCAGAGACAGGCAAGAGAAUCCCUUUGUGUUGCCUGAGAGUCCCCAAGGUCAUGUCCAGGCACUCGUGAACACAUCCAAGACAGGCACAAGUUGUCGCAGCCUCGGUCUGAAGAAUAUUUCCACAUAACGGAAUCGACGUUCGACUCGACUUUCGCCGAGAGAUUGCCGUCGUGUUUAAUACCUAGUUUCUAUGGCAACCAGCGGCCGCGGCAUACCUGACCUACAUAUGUGCCGUAUGUACACAAACACACAGCAGCCAUCUGUUACUGUCACUGUCGCACAGCGGCGCGCGGAUGCUUUGAGUGGCAGCUUAAUGACUUUAUCAGACACUGGAGCAAACAACAGCAUCUUCUACUGGUCUUUUACAAGAAGAGACAGUGAUCACAUUGAAUGGUUGUUUACUACAUCUGUAAAUAUAAACAAGUAGAGUUCAAUGUAUUUAAAAGAACAACAGAUUUUGGCUGUAAUCACGUUUUGGCAACAUGAAAGCAUAUUACUGGUAUAUAUUAUAUAUGAGGCAUAGAAAUGUGUGUGUAGGAAAUUGGCUUUAUUAUUUAAGUUACUGUGUACAUUCAGUUCCGGUAGGAUACAUUUUGAAUAUAAAGGUGACUGAUGAAGUAGGAAAGUUUCGAAUAAAAAUUUGGCCAAUUGAUUUUGGUAAACAUUUGUUUUAUACGUUGUGGGUUUGCCAGACACAAUCCAGGGAAACAGUAGCUGUGACAGUAACAGACCUCACUCUGCUUGUUGUUGGUCUUCUUCCUUUCCUUAGUAGAAACUGAAUCUACCAUUGGUUCACAAAGAGUAACUCCUGAAUCGGAUUUGAUGACACGCCUUUGAUUUUUGGCCCAUAUACUAACUUGUGUUUCCAAAUAAUAUUAUCAAGAAGUGAUAUGUUUAGAGUGCACCACUUGGAAACAAGGACACUCACUUGGUUUGGACCCCUUCCUGGGAACCGCUUGGACUGGCUGCUCCUGGGGCUGCAUGGAACAGUGUGAAGGGUGACAUUGCCCUAGGCAGAACCACUGAUUCCAUCCGACGUGUUGCUGUGUCGGUGAGCAGUGCCCCACUGAGGAGGGAGUGGCCAUAGCCGUGGCAGCCAACGUCAUCUGAGGAGGAACAAGCUGCUUACAGUAUGAUCCCUAAACAGAUAUGAAACUUUACCAAAUUCACUAAUAUCAACAAGCACAAUAUGUCUCCAUCAAAUAAAGAGUCAUGAUCCUCAAUGUCUUUAUUGAACACUCCAAUUUAACAUGUUGCUGGUAAGAGGAAAGGUGUU
Betta splendens (Siamese fighting fish) is the source of this 3348-nucleotide long non-coding RNA. RefSeq lists it as uncharacterized. The transcript has 3 exons. Lineage: Eukaryota; Metazoa; Chordata; Actinopteri; Anabantiformes; Osphronemidae. The record is from RefSeq and is a predicted model, not a curated record.